This is a non-coding RNA of Mycena capillaripes, 94 nucleotides long. Lineage: Eukaryota; Fungi; Basidiomycota; Agaricomycetes; Agaricales; Mycenaceae. The record is from the annotation of a GenBank genome assembly.
GGAUCGGUAGUGGACGGUCCACACCCCUGAUUCAUACCAUGUUAUUGAUCUCGCAUCGAUGCGGGAAUCGCCCGUUCGAUUCGGGCCUGAGCCA